Molecule: long non-coding RNA, 992 nt
Organism: Cyanistes caeruleus (blue tit)
Lineage: Eukaryota; Metazoa; Chordata; Aves; Passeriformes; Paridae
Source: RefSeq, a predicted model, not a curated record
UGGAGGCGCUCAUGGCUGCCUGGUCACCAGCUCCUGCUGCGCUGCCCUUUUUCCUUAUUCAGGCCUUUGUUGUAUUUUGUUAAGGUUUUUACUAAACCUUUUAAAAUUUUUAAAAGCGAGUGUCUCUCACACCUUCCACGCUGAUCCAGAAAAUGAAAUGAGCUGUCCCUGCAACCAGGCUUUGAUGUGAACAAAAUAAGACUUAAACAUACCUGGAGCUGUGUGGUAGCCAGCCCUGUUUCCUCCUGUCCCAGCUUGCCAAAUGGAGUUUCAGAAUUUACCUUGGACUUGUUCUUUUAUUGCAUCUUGUCAGAGGAUCACUGGAUGGCCACCAGAGCAUCUGCAGCCCAGCUCUGCCUGGAUGCUGUGGCACUGGCCUGCCAGAUUCAAAGUCUAGAACAUCAGGUUAUGACUCUUCUAGGAAGACUGAAAUGUUGAUUCAAAGUCAGUCUUAUUAUUCUGGAGCAAAAUGGAAACUGUGGAGACCAAUGCUCAGCCAACAGUGACUCCUCUACAGGGACAAUUAAAAAUGUGCUGAAUAUUUGAGCCGAAUGAUGGCCUCACUUCUUGGGUGAUGAUUGCUUAAUCUCGUCCUUAGGGGAGGAACUUUCAUGCUGUUCACAAACAUCUGAAUCCCUUCCUGCAGUAGAAUCCAUUUACCAUUGUGCAAAUAUUCUGUAUUAAUUCUAGACCACACACAGAUCUGAGUGGCAUCAGAGUAAGACUGCAGUAACCCCAAUUAAUUUCAGGAGGCUUUUUCCAGGUUUAUCCUACUCAGAUAAAAAUGUGUGUAUUUAUCUUUGAAUUGCAUGGCACAGACUAUUGUAAUGAGGUGCAUUGAGUUCCAUUCUCAGCAUAAAUUAAUUUGGGGUAGUCAAAUGAAAAAUGUUUCACACCAGAUUGGCAAGCUAGAUGGUCCUUUAUCACUUCAGUUAAGGAAAAUAUGAAUGUUAAUGAAUCUAUUUUAUUCUAUUACAACUUCUGAAAAUAAA